RNAcentral lists this unclassified non-coding RNA (1336 nucleotides) under Hevea brasiliensis (rubber tree). Lineage: Eukaryota; Viridiplantae; Streptophyta; Magnoliopsida; Malpighiales; Euphorbiaceae. The record is from RNAcentral.
ACCGCAGUUUGGGGACACAUAGAGAAGGACAGUAUGGCGUAUCUCUACUAAUUGGAUUCUUCUCUCUCUGCUUCUCCCUUCAAAAGCCCUAUUUAUUAACCAAACCUAUAGCCCACUGCUUUUUCCCAUGCACUUUGUCUUCUUCACCUUCAACACUACUUCCCUAUCUUUCCCCUCUUCCUAUAUAUAUCCCACGCUACUUUCUCUUCUGGGUUCAUGCUUGCCUUACUUCUCUGUCCAUAACUUGUCUCCAACUAAAUCUUCUUCUUUUAAGUCCCUUAUAUAUUCAUCUCCUUUGCAUCGCACCCAUAACCUCAUAAACUUACUUGUUUUUUUCUCUCUGACAAGUUUUCUAGUUCUUUCCCAUUUGUCUAGCUCUCAAGAUUUGUCUCCAUAACUUGGCUACUUAAUUUCUGACAGUUAGUCCUGUAUAUAGUGCAGCAUUAAUAACAAUGUCUAGCAGAAGAUCUCGUUCGAGGCCGUCAUCAGGUGUUUCUAGGAUUAGUGAAGAUCAGAUCAUCGAUCUUGUUUCUAAGUUGCAACAACUUAUCCCUGAAAUUCGCAAUAGGCGCUCCGACAAGGUAUUUAGCAAGCCAACAAGUUUGGUCAUCUCUUAAUUUUUUUUUCUCUCUCUCUACAUGGAUUCAAAAAUUUGUGUGGCCUUCAUUCAUUUAAGCAGAUAAUGUCAUACAUAAACUCACAGCCUCAUUUAUUUUUCAUGUGAUGCUUCUAGCUACAGCAACUUGGAGGUGUGGGACUUGGUUGUUCCCUAGCUAUAGCUGUUAAGCUUUUCCCUUCUGCACACACAAAUGCUUAGAAUCGUAGUUAAUAGAUUGGUUUAGCUUAAAUAAUCAUCUAAUUAAAAUGUAACAAUUGUUACUGAAAUAUUUAUUGAACACUGCAGGUUUCGGCUUCAAAGGUGUUGCAGGAGACUUGCAACUACAUAAGAAGCUUACGCAGAGAGGUGGAUGAUCUCAGUGACCGUUUAUCUGAGCUUUUGGCUUCAACUGACUCCAAUAGUGCUCAAGCAGCCAUAAUUAGGAGUUUGCUUAUGGAGUAAUAAGACGAUAAUUAAACAGCGUUGCAUCCCAUUUCUCCUUCUACUUCUACUUAUAUAUAAAUUAAUGUAUAUCUAGGGUUUUGGUCACUAGGCCAGGACAAGGGUUGCUAUGGGCUUAGUAUAGCUAGCUCCAUUUUUAUGAUAAGACUUGUAGUAAUAUUAAUAUUAAUAGCCCUUAAUAAGAGGACUAGUACGUUUAUUUCCUUAAAGCAUUUUGUACCAAGAAAUUAUUAAACCCACUUUGCAUUAUUAUCUUAUUUGAUGAUUUAUUUGCCA